RNAcentral lists this long non-coding RNA (786 nucleotides) under Nicotiana tabacum (common tobacco). Its description in RNAcentral is "long non-coding RNA (NTAB_LNC001896)". Lineage: Eukaryota; Viridiplantae; Streptophyta; Magnoliopsida; Solanales; Solanaceae. The record is from RNAcentral.
GAGAAAUUUUACAACUAGAUAGACAAAUUAAGCAUGCAGAAUUGCAUUACAAGGAAACAAAAAGUCAGAGCAAGCAGGACAACUGUAAUUCUAGUAAGAUCCUCAACUAUUCAUCUUAAGUUUGACAUAAUAUGUAUUUAUUUAGAGAGGAAAAUUAAUACGAUAUCAAGCAAAAGGCACAUACCAUGGUUGAGCCAAGAAAGUACUAGACCAUGAAAUAUGAAGCUGAAAAUUCUGGAGUUUCUCCCUUUUUAUCAAUAUUAUGAAACUUUUCCAAUGUAUUGAGAAGAAAUCCCAAAUAAACCAACCAAUACAAUUGUAAAUCUCAAAACCCAAUGCAAACGCAGAGAAAACAUAUGUGAAGCUAAAGGAUGCGGAACUCGGAUGACCUCUAUAUCCGUGUUUUUUACGAAAAAAUUGCUCUCAAUUUUGCUUUAAUCUCCAUUUUUUGUUCCUUUCCCGAUCUAGCAUUUUCUUGUUUUCCCCCUCUCUUUCCUUUUUUAGCUUUUGCUUUUUGUCUUUUCUCUUCUCUUGUGACUCCCUCCCCUCCAAAUUUCGUUCCAGACCUAGAAAACGUGAAUAAGUGAAAUCAAAAUUCAAAUGUUAUAGCAACAUGAGAAACAAACUAGGAGAUAAUCACAUAUUCAAAUAAUAACAAGUGAAUAUGCUAAAAAACCAUCUAGAAUUACACAUCAAAAACUAGAUCUGAAGGCAUUUUAAGGAAUACAUACCUAGCUGCACAAAGUUCAAAUUUAGAAAAGGAAAAAGCCGAGUAAAGGCCGACAU